RNAcentral lists this ribosomal RNA (156 nucleotides) under uncultured Sporosarcina sp. Its description in RNAcentral is "partial 16S ribosomal RNA". It matches the Rfam family "Bacterial small subunit ribosomal RNA", at positions 371 to 524 of the family's 1533-position model. Lineage: Bacteria; Bacillati; Bacillota; Bacilli; Caryophanales; Caryophanaceae. The record is from RNAcentral.
ACGGAAUCUGAUGGCAGCAACGCCGCGUGAGUGAAGAAGUUUUCGGAUCUGAAAACUCUGUUGUAAGGGAAGAACACGUACGAGAGUAACUGCUCGUACCUUGACGGUACCUUAUUAGAAAGCCACGGCUAACUACGUGCCAGCAGCCGCGGUAAU